AGAGGCCCAAGUUGAUAAAUGCCGGCGUAAAGUGUGGUUAGGAAAACUACUCUAAAGUUGAACGCCCCCAGAACUGUUAUACGCACCCGGGAGCAGGAAACCCGACUGCGAAAGUGACUUUAAACCUCCGACCCCACGACAGCUAAGGUACAAACUGGGAUUAGAUACCCCAUUAUGCUUAGCCGUAAACUUUGAUAGUAUUGCACAACCUCUAUCCGCCCGGGAACUACGAGCGCUA
This 238-nucleotide ribosomal RNA is filed under the name Synodus ulae (red lizard fish). RNAcentral describes it as "partial small subunit ribosomal RNA". The record is from RNAcentral. Lineage: Eukaryota; Metazoa; Chordata; Actinopteri; Aulopiformes; Synodontidae.